Caenorhabditis remanei is the source of this 59-nucleotide non-coding RNA. Lineage: Eukaryota; Metazoa; Nematoda; Chromadorea; Rhabditida; Rhabditidae. The record is from Rfam.
GUAAGAAAUCUUUGUGGUUUUCCGUGUUUAAACGCGAAAACUGAAGAGAUUUUUUACAG